Molecule: long non-coding RNA, 545 nt
Organism: Trematomus bernacchii (emerald rockcod)
Lineage: Eukaryota; Metazoa; Chordata; Actinopteri; Perciformes; Nototheniidae
Exons: 4
Source: RefSeq, a predicted model, not a curated record
CCAAGUCUGACGCAGGAUGGUACCAAUGUGGUCUGGACAGAUUUUUCCUCCCUGACUCAUACCAGGACUUUAAGAUCAGAGUUACAGAUGCUCCAACAUCUUCAAAACCAGAAGUGACUCUCCAACCUUUUUCAUCAUCAGCCCAAUCAGCCUCCACACUGACCCCCACACAGAGUCUGAGCUCCAAACCUUCCUCAGCCUCCCCUGAACGCACCACACAGCCUCAACAGGGACAGACAGUUCUAGCUGGUCACGGUACUUUUAGUUUGUUGUUUGUGUUUAUGGACCAGGAAGUAUCAGAGUAAACAAAGUGUUCUUCUGCUCUCAGGUGUGGUGCUGUAUGUGCGUCUGACUCUGGUCGUCAUGUUCCUCGUACUCUCAGCGUCUGUGUUGAUAUUCUGCUGGAAGAGGGCCAGGAAAGAUCCUCCUGUGGAACCUGAGUAUGGUGUUGACACUGAGGCUAACCAAGUUUAUGAAGACGUCAGAGAGGAGGACGGAGGGAGCGGUUCUCCACCUGUAUUAAUAUCUACCAUUUACUCCUACGC